AUUGAACGCUGGCGGCAGGCCUAACACAUGCAAGUCGAGCGGAGCGGCGGAAGGGUGAGUAAUGACUAGGAAUCUGCCUGUUAGUGGGGGAUAACGACCGGAAACGGGCGCUAAUAUCGCAUACUCUCAGCUGAGGCUCGGCCGGAUUAGCUAGUUGGUGGGGUAAAGGCCUACAAAGGCGACGAUCCGUAACUGGUCUGAGAGGAAGAUCAGUCACACUGGAACUGAGACACGGUCCAGACUCCUACGGGAGGCAGCAGUGGGGAAUAUUGGACAAGGGGCGAAAGCCUGAUCCAGCCAUGCCGCGUGUGUGAAGAAGGUCUUCGGAUUGUAAAGCACUUUAAGUUGGGAGGCGUUACCAACAGAAUAAGCACCGGCUAACUUCGUGCCAGCCGCCGCGGUAAUAC
This 407-nucleotide ribosomal RNA is filed under the name uncultured bacterium. Its description in RNAcentral is "partial 16S ribosomal RNA". It matches the Rfam family "Bacterial small subunit ribosomal RNA", at positions 30 to 526 of the family's 1533-position model. The record is from RNAcentral.